CGGACGGGUGAGUAACGCGUGGGCAACCUGCCCCAUACAGGGGGAUAACAGUUAGAAAUGACUGCUAAUACCGCAUAAGCGCACGGCAACGCAUGUUGCUGUGUGAAAAACUCCGGUGGUAUGGGAUGGACCCGCGUCUGAUUAGCCAGUUGGCAGGGUAACGGCCUACCAAAGCGACGAUCAGUAGCCGGCCUGAGAGGGUGGACGGCCACAUUGGGACUGAGACACGGCCCAAACUCCUACGGGAGGCAGCAG
This 255-nucleotide ribosomal RNA is filed under the name uncultured bacterium. RNAcentral describes it as "partial 16S ribosomal RNA". It matches the Rfam family "Bacterial small subunit ribosomal RNA", at positions 99 to 354 of the family's 1533-position model. The record is from RNAcentral.